CAGCGUGAGCAGAUGAGAGAGAGAGUCAGAGCAGAUCAGCACAGACAGUUUCUCCUGAAAAUCCACUGAUCUAACUGGAAAUGUGAUUGAGUGCACUAAAAGUGGAGCUUUUGAAGUCGACGCGUCAGCCCGAAGUGAUGUCGUCGGAGACAGAGAAGAGAGAGACGGUGCGGAUCCCAGCGUGUUGAAGCACUACCCAAAGGAAAAGGACAUGAAGGACAAGACAAAUGAAUGUCUGUUGAUGAGUAUCAAGCACAACCUCGACAGAGACUCAGAAGAGGCUGAAAUAAUGGAGGAAAACGGAAAAAUUGAGAAAUGACAACAAAAAAAGCUACCAAAUCUGAUAAAUGAAGUGAAGAUGGCCCUGAAGUCUCUGUUUGUCAGCAUCAGUCACGUAACUUGGAUGAUGGGACAGGAUUUGCCACAGAGUAAUUACAGAGCCCUUCCAGCAGAACAGGAGCAACGUUGCAGAAAGUGUCCUCAUGUGGUGUCUACCAGCAUUGGUACAGCAAAUAAUGCCAAACUUACUGAAAUUAGAGGGAAGAAUACACAAAAAUAUCUGAAAACCUUAAAGGUGAUAAAGAGGAUCUUUUCGUCGACUGAGAAACCAAAGACUGUUACUGAGUUUUUGAAAUGAGCGCAUGUGUAAGAACAACCACCCUCCUUUCGAGGGAAC
Molecule: long non-coding RNA, 676 nt
Organism: Megalobrama amblycephala (Wuchang bream)
Lineage: Eukaryota; Metazoa; Chordata; Actinopteri; Cypriniformes; Xenocyprididae
Exons: 4
Source: RefSeq, a predicted model, not a curated record